ACUCAAAUGAAUAGACGGGGACUCGCACAAGCGGUGGAGCAUGCGGUUUAAUUCGAUGCAACGCGAAAAACCUUACCAGGUCUUGACAUCCCGGUGACCGGACUAGAGAUAGUUCUUCCCUUCGGGGCACUGGAGACAGGUGGUGCAUGGUUGUCGUCAGCUCGUGUCGUGAGAUGUUGGGUUAAGUCCCACAACGAGCGCAACCCUUAUCAUUAGUUGCUAACAUUAAGUUGAGAACUCUAAUGAGACCGCCGGUGAUAAACCGGAUGAAGGUGGGGAUGACGUCAAAUCAUCAUGCCCUUUAUGACCUGGGCUACACGCGUGCUACAAUGGCUGGUACAAAGAGUCGCAAAACCGUGAGGUUGAGCAAAUCUCAUAAAACCAGUCUCAGUUCAGAUUGUAGUCUGCAACUCGACUACAUGAAGUUGGAAUCGCUAGUAAUCGCAAAUCAGCAUGUUGCGGUGAAUACGUUCUCGAGUCUUGUACACACCGCCCGU
This 497-nucleotide ribosomal RNA is filed under the name uncultured bacterium. RNAcentral describes it as "bacterial SSU rRNA". It matches the Rfam family "Bacterial small subunit ribosomal RNA", at positions 899 to 1397 of the family's 1533-position model. The record is from RNAcentral.